AGUCUGGUGCCAGCAGCCGCGGUAAUUCCAGCUCCAAUAGCGUAUAUUAAAGUUGCUGCAGUUAAAAAGCUCGUAGUUGAAUUUCUGGUACGAUGUGCCUGGUCCACGGUCGCAAGGCCGCGCGUAUCGGAGUACGUCUGCCAUCCUUCUAGUUAACUGGCUAUACUUAACUGUGUGGUCAGCAACCUAGAUCUUUUACUUUGAAAAAAAUUAGAGUGUUUAAAGCAGGCUCGCGCUGUGAAUACAUUAGCAUGGAAUAAUAAUUUAGGACUUUGCUUCUAUUUUAUUGGUUUCUAGGGGUAAAGUAAUGAUUGAUAGGGAUAGUUGGGGGUGCUAGUAUUCAUCGGCCAGAGGUGAAAUUCUUGGAUUCGAUGAAGACUAACUUAUGCGAAAGCAUUCACCAAGGAUGUCUUCUUUAAUCAAGAACGAAAGUUGGGGGAUCGAAGACGAUCAGAUACCGUCGUAGUCUCAACCAUAAACUACACCGACUAGGGAUUAGUGGAAGUUGCUAUAUCGACUCCAUUAGCACCUUAUGAGAAAUCAGAAGUCUUUGGGUUCUGGGGGGAGUAUGGUCGCAAGGCUGAAACUUAAAGGAAUUGACGGAAGGGCACCACCAGGAGUGGAGCCUGCGGCUUAAUUUGACACAACACGGGGAAACUUACCAGGUCCGGACAUAGUGAGGAUUGACAGAUUGAAGUUCUUUCUUGAUUCUAUGGUUGGUGGUGCAUGGCCGUUCUUAGUUGGUGUAGUGAUUUGUCUGGUUAAUUCCGUUAACGAACGAGACCUCGACCUGCUAAAUAGUAUGACGUAGGCUCUGUCUAUGGACAUGACUUCUUAGAGGGACUGUCGGUUUUUAGCCGAAGGAAGUUCGAGGCAAUAACAGGUCUGUGAUGCCCUUAGAUGUUCUGGGCCGCACGCGCGCUACACUGAUACGUGCAUCGAGCUUACAACCUUGGCUGGGAGGCCUGGGUAAUCUUUGAAAAGCGUAUCGUGCUGGGGAUAGAUUAUUGUAAUUAUUAAUCUUCAACGAGGAAUUCCUAGUAAGCGCGAGUCAUCAACUCGCACUGAUUACGUCCCUGCCCUUUGUACACACCGCCCGUCGCUGCUACCGAUUGAAUGCAUUAGUGAGCUUGAGGGAUCGUUUAGCUUGAGGGUCAAACUUCGAGUUAAGUGAGAACUCACGCAAACUUGCGCAUUUAGAGGAAGCAAAAGUCGUAACAAGGUUUCCGUAGGUGAACCUGCGGAAG
This 1247-nucleotide ribosomal RNA is filed under the name metagenome. RNAcentral's name for it is "SSU rRNA". It matches the Rfam family "Eukaryotic small subunit ribosomal RNA", at positions 558 to 1823 of the family's 1831-position model. The record is from RNAcentral.